UACGGAGGGUGCAAGCGUUACUCGGAAUCACUGGGUGUAAAGGGCGCGUAGGCGGCCCGAUAAGUUUGGUGUGAAAUCCCACGGCUCAACUGUGGAACUGCACUGAAUACUGUCGGGCUAGAGUGCAGGAGGGGAGGGUGGAAUUCAUGGUGUAGAGGUGAAAUUCGUAGAUAUCAUGAGGAACACCAGCGGCGAAGGCGGCCCUCUGGACUGCAACUGACGCUAAGGCGCGAAAGCGUGGGGAGCAAACAGG
Molecule: ribosomal RNA, 253 nt
Filed under: uncultured bacterium
Lineage: Bacteria
Description: partial 16S ribosomal RNA
Rfam family: Bacterial small subunit ribosomal RNA
Source: RNAcentral